RNAcentral lists this transfer RNA (71 nucleotides) under Verrucomicrobiota bacterium. RNAcentral's name for it is "Verrucomicrobia bacterium tRNA-Cys". It matches the Rfam family "tRNA". From Rfam's summary of the family: Transfer RNA (tRNA) molecules are approximately 80 nucleotides in length. Their secondary structure includes four short double-helical elements and three loops (D, anti-codon, and T loops). Lineage: Bacteria; Pseudomonadati; Verrucomicrobiota. RNAcentral also lists the same sequence under 1 other name. The record is from RNAcentral.
GGUCGGGUGGCCGAGUGGUUAGGCAGAGGUCUGCAAAACCUUGUACGGCGGUUCGAAUCCGUUCCCGACCU